GAUGAACGCUGGCGGCGUGCCUAAUACAUGCAAGUCGAGCGAACAGAUGAGGAGCUUGCUCCUCUGACGUUAGCGGCGGACGGGUGAGUAACACGUGGAUAACCUACCUAUAAGACUGGGAUAACUUCGGGAAACCGGAGCUAAUACCGGAUAAUAUAUUGAACCGCAUGGUUCAAUAGUGAAAGACGGUUUUGCUGUCACUUAUAGAUGGAUCCGCGCCGCAUUAGCUAGUUGGUAAGGUAACGGCUUACCAAGGCAACGAUGCGUAGCCGACCUGAGAGGGGGAUCGGCCACACUUGAACUGGGACACGGUCCAAACUCCUAAGGGAGGGAGCAGUAGGGAAUCUUCCGCAAUGGGCGGAAACCUUACGGAGGAACGGCGCGUGAGUGAUGAAGGUCUUCGGAUCGUAAAACUUUGUUAUUAGGGAAGAACAAAUGUGUAAGUUACUAUGCACGUCUUGACGGUACCUAAUCAGAAAGCCACGGCUAACUACGUG
Molecule: ribosomal RNA, 497 nt
Filed under: uncultured bacterium
Lineage: Bacteria
Description: partial 16S ribosomal RNA
Rfam family: Bacterial small subunit ribosomal RNA
Source: RNAcentral